This 497-nucleotide ribosomal RNA is filed under the name uncultured bacterium. Its description in RNAcentral is "partial 16S ribosomal RNA". It matches the Rfam family "Bacterial small subunit ribosomal RNA", at positions 28 to 507 of the family's 1533-position model. The record is from RNAcentral.
GAUGAACGCUGGCGGCGUGCCUAAUACAUGCAAGUCGAGCGAACGGACGAGAAGCUUGCUUUUCUGAUGUUAGCGGCGGACGGGUGAGUAACACGUGGAUAACCUACCUAUAAGACUGGGAUAACUUCGGGAAACCGGAGCUAAUACCGGAUAAUAUUUUGAGCCGCAUGGUUCAAAAGUGAAAGACGGUCUUGCUGUCACUUAUAGAUGGAUCCGCGCUGCAUUAGCUAGUUGGUAAGGUAACGGCUUACCAAGGCAACGAUGCAUAGCCGACCUGAGAGGGUGAUCGGCCACCAUGGAACUGAGACACGGUCCAGACUCCUACGGGAGGCAGCAGUAGGGAAUCUUCCGCAAUGGGCGAAAGCCUGACGGAGCAACGCCGCGUGAGUGAUGAAGGUCUUCGGAUCGUAAAACUCUGUUAUUAGGGAAGAACAUAUGUGUAAGUAACUGUGCACAUCUUGACGGUACCUAAUCAGAAAGCCACGGCUAACUACGUG